RNAcentral lists this ribosomal RNA (951 nucleotides) under uncultured organism. RNAcentral's name for it is "bacterial SSU rRNA". It matches the Rfam family "Bacterial small subunit ribosomal RNA", at positions 470 to 1438 of the family's 1533-position model. The record is from RNAcentral.
UGACGGUACCCUUUCGAAUAAGAGGUUGCUAACUCUGUGCCAGCAGCAGCGGUAAUACAGAGACCUCGAGCGUUAUCCGGAUUUACUGGGCGUAAAGCGUCUGUAGGGGGUUUGUUAAGUUCCAAGUAAAAUCUUAAGGCUCAACUUUAAGUUCGCUUGGAAAACUAAUAAACUGGAGUCCAGCAGAGGUGCAUGGAACUUGCGGUGUAGGAGUGAAAUCCGUUGAUAUCGCAAGGAACACCAAAGGUGAAGGCAUUGCACUGGGCUGGUACUGACCCUGAGAGACGAAAGCGUGGGGAGCAAAACGGAUUAGAUACCCGUGUAGUCCACGCCGUAAACGAUGGAUACUAGAUGUUCGGGGAUUCGACCCCCUGGGUGUCACAGCUAACGCGUUAAGUAUCCCGCCUGGGAAGUACGGCCGCAAGGCUAAAACUCAAAGGAAUAGACGGGGAUCCGCACAAGCGGUGGAGCGUCUGGUUUAAUUUGAUAGUAAGCAAUGGACCUCACCAAGGUUUGACAUCCUAUGACAACCCUGGAAACAGGGCUUCCUUCGGGCAUAGUGACAGGUGCUGCAUGGUCGUCGUCAGUUCGUGCCGUGAGGUGUUCCGUUAAGUCGGGAAACGAACGAAACCCUCGUCGCAUGUUACAAAUUUCAUGCGAGACUGCCCGGGUCAACCGGGAGGAAGGCGGGGAUGACGUCAGAUCAGCAUGGCCCUUAUACCUUGGGCUACACAGGCGCUACAAUGGCCGGUACAAAGGGUUGCAAAACCGCGAGGUGAAGCUAAUCCCAUAAAGCCGGUCCAAGUUCGGAUUGGAGGCUGCAACUCGCCUCCAUGAAGUUGGAAUCGCUAGUACUCGUCGAUCAGCCAUACCACGGUGAUACGUUCCCGGAUCUUGUACUCACCGCCCGUCACACCAAGAGAGUUGGUAGCUCCUGAAGCGUCGCAUUAG